Molecule: unclassified non-coding RNA, 181 nt
Filed under: fungal sp.
Lineage: Eukaryota; Fungi
Description: partial internal transcribed spacer region
Rfam family: Eukaryotic small subunit ribosomal RNA (bases 1-46)
Source: RNAcentral
AAGUCGUAACAAGGUUUCCGUAGGUGAACCUGCGGAAGGAUCAUUAGUAAGUUGUGUUGUGCUUUGGCACUUCCUUCUUGUGAACUGGAGGUUCCGGCCUCGUAUUUUUUUAUUCAUGUUGUUUUUUAUUUUUUUUCUUGUAAAAAUAAGACAACUUUCAGCAAUGGAUCUCUUGGCUCUU